RNAcentral lists this ribosomal RNA (173 nucleotides) under uncultured Bacteroidota bacterium. RNAcentral's name for it is "uncultured Bacteroidetes bacterium partial 16S ribosomal RNA". It matches the Rfam family "Bacterial small subunit ribosomal RNA", at positions 334 to 524 of the family's 1533-position model. Lineage: Bacteria; Pseudomonadati; Bacteroidota. The record is from RNAcentral.
UACUCCUACGGGAGGCAGCAGUGGGGAAUAUUGGACAAUGGGCGAAAGCCUGAUCCAGCAAUGCCGCGUGAGUGAUGAAGGCCUUAGGGUUGUAAAGCUCUUUUACCUGGGAUGAUAAUGACAGUACCGGGAGAAUAAGCCCCGGCUAACUCCGUGCCAGCAGCCGCGGUAAU